RNAcentral lists this signal recognition particle RNA (96 nucleotides) under Deltaproteobacteria bacterium. RNAcentral describes it as "signal recognition particle sRNA small type". It matches the Rfam family "Bacterial small signal recognition particle RNA". From Rfam's summary of the family: The signal recognition particle (SRP) is a universally conserved ribonucleoprotein involved in the co-translational targeting of proteins to membranes. Archaeal SRP consists of a 7S RNA and homologues of the eukaryotic SRP19 and SRP54 proteins. In most bacteria, the SRP consists of a 4.5S RNA and the Ffh protein (a homologue of the eukaryotic SRP54 protein). Lineage: Bacteria; Pseudomonadati; Myxococcota; Myxococcia. The record is from RNAcentral.
CCCUCGGCUUUGCGUGACGUUUGACUGCUAACCCCGUCAGGUCCGAAAGGAAGCAGCGGUCCGCAGACCCAGCGUGUCGUGAAACCCCGGGGGGUU